GCCAAUCAGAUCUCGAGUCAGUGCCACCAAGGCCAGCUAGAAGGCCUUACGCUGAUUGAUGAAACUGAAACACACAGAGAAACUGAAGUCUUCCUGAGCAAAGAAAGGAGCAUGGAUUUUAUUAUCAAAUAAGCAGGCACUGUGGAGGAGCUCCGUCUUGGUGAGUGCAAGCAUUUUAUUUUUAUUUUAUCUCUUAAAAUCACCUUUUAUUUUGGACUUUGACAGUAUCUGUGACCUUAGUUUCCCACACUUCCCACACUUAUUUUAAAAUGUACAAACAUUAGAGAACCAUGCUGCCGAAAGCAGCCGAGUGAUGAAGCAACCGUGGCCCAAAUGUGUAUAAAAGCAGCAACGUCUUCAGUCAACCUUCAGACGAAACCUGACAAGAGUCACCAGGUUGUGUGCAUUCAGCAGAGCUCUGCUAUGUUCUUUGAGGGACAGGACCUGGAGGUGGAAAUGAAGAACGACCAUUCCCUUGGGGAACAGGAGCAGGAGUCUGCAAUGGGCCACACCACGAUGGUGUACAGUUAUGACCCAAAACAAGUUACGUGUCGCUAUUGCUGUGGAUGCUGCUUCAUGCCUCAGUGUGGAGUAUGCUGCACGAAAGUAAUCCAAGAAUCCAAAACACACAUCUAAAUGUUAUUUAAAAAAAAUCUAUGCAAUAUUUCACCAAUGCAUCUUGCUCUACUCACAUUUUUUGUGACUCAAAUUUAGAAGUAAUAAAAACAAAUGUUUCUAAU
Molecule: long non-coding RNA, 740 nt
Organism: Parambassis ranga (Indian glassy fish)
Lineage: Eukaryota; Metazoa; Chordata; Actinopteri; Ambassidae
Source: Ensembl